GAGUUUUAAUAAGUUUUGAAACAAAAGAAAAAAAAUGAAAAAUGAAUGAAAAAUGAAAAAUAAGAAGUUUGAAAAUUGAAGGCCACUUCUGGGCCAACUGCACCCAAGACCAACCUAAACUAAACCCUUUGAGAACGGAUACCCAAGCCCAAAUGCACCCCAACCCGGUCCAACCCCUAAUUUCCCAAAACGACGUCGUUUAGUUGAAAUCAAUCCUGACCGUCUAGGUUGUUGAUCUGACGGUCAGGAACUGAUGGUUUUUUGAUAUAUUAGUUCCAAACGCGUCCCUCCCCCCUCCCCGUCAUCUCUCACACCCUAAAGAUCAAACUCUAACGUCGAUGCCUACUGUUGCAAACUGCCGGCCGGAAAUCGCUUCCGCCGGCGGCAAUCGUCCAAACAUCCCCAAAUUAACACCACUUCAAAACCUCGCUGCCCUAUCUCAAAAUCCAUGCUCCGUGUCUUUCAAUCCCUCUCAAACCCGUCGAAUAAGAGAAACCCUAGCGCCGCCUCCGUCGUGUACAGCGCCGCCUCCGUCGUGUACAGCGCCGCCGCCUACAAAUCCCACCAAAAUCACACCCUAGGGUCUCCUCACCCCCUUAUUCCUAAAUCCCAAACCAAUCUCCCUCAAAUAAAGCCAUAAUUCCUCGAAUUUUAGAUCUAGGGUUUUGUUUAAAAACGGGAUCGAAUUUCCAAGGCUUAUCAGUGUUCGAAUUGGUUUAAAAAUAAUACUAUGUGUUUGUUUAUAGCAAGAACAAGCAUAUAACAUUAUUUGGGGACCAUAUUCGAAGUCAGUCAAGGAAGGGCACAAAAUCAUUAAGUCUUUCUUUCUUUAUUUGUUUUUUUAUUGUUUCGUUUAGCUCUUGUUUAUUUUUUCUUUGCAUAGUAAUUUCGUUCGAUUGAAUGUGAUAUUCGCUCCAUGUUUAAUCAUUCUUCAUGUUAUAUGAUUUAGGCUUCUUAGGAUUUUUAAUUGAUUUUUGUUUUUUCCAUAGUGUUUUUAUGAUUCCGUUGAUUUUUUUAAUUUUUGUUUGAGUCUGAAUCUUCUGUUCGAUUGACAAUAAAUGGCCUGAGUCUGAUUAAUUUUGUGUUUAGAUUUUGUCUAAUUCAGUAGCCUGUAAUAGUAUUAAUUAGAAACAAUUUCCAGUUUUGAUUAGCAUUAGAUAGAUUUGAUAAUUCAAUUCUAGGGAUUUUGUGGUAAUUGAAAAUGGUUUGGUUAUAGCUGAUCAUGUCCAGCUCCUUGGUUAAUUAGCCUUAGGCAAUUUUUGGUCAAGGUAAAAAGGGAGCUAGGGUUAGUUAAUAUAGUUUGGUAAUUUCAGAACCAAUGUAAGGGUAGUAUAGGUAGUUCAAUAAAAGAAUCCCGCAGUAACUAAAAUUGAAACCCCCUAGAACCUUCUAGAUUGGGUUUUAAUUUGAAAUUCAGGAACUUGAUUGCAUAACUUGACGUGCAAGUCAUAAAUUGAAGGACUAACUAAGAAAAAACUGAAAAUAAAAGAGAGACCUAGAAUGUAAAAAAAAUCUGAAAGUUGCCCUAACCUUUGCCUAUAAAAAAGGGCAAUACCUUGCCUUGAUAAAAAAGGCUUGCAAAAUAAAUCUGAAAAGUUUUAGAAGUUUUUGGAGAUCUGAACAAAAAAUUCAAAAGUUUCAGCAGUCUAGAGAGAUCCAAAACUCUUUAAAAUUCAAAAAUCCAAAUCUUAGAGCUUAGAGAAAUAAGAAAAAUCCAAAAAAAAAAAUUCAAAUUCGAAAGCUACUGAAAACUACUAAAAAUCAAAAAAAAAAAAGAGCAAAGUUCUGCAAAAGUUGAGAGUAUAUUAGAUCUUAGAGAAUACAACAAAUACUGAAAAAAUCAACUCAAAAAUAGUGUAGGAAAUCCUUCCAGAUCUACAGCUUGUUUGUUUUCAAACUCAGCUGAAUUUCCUAGGUCAAUUGAGGUUUAUUUUGGGGUCUGUUGCCUCCUAUCUUUGUUCCUGCUUUUUUGACUUGGAGUUUGCUGUUUUCUGCUGUUGUGUGUUGUUGCCUAGCUGAUCCUCUAUUUCCUCAUUUGUUCUAAUUUUCAAGUACAGUUUUUUGCCUUAAGUGAUGUUAAAGAUUAGAUCAACAUGUAUGAACACAUUUGAAGUACACUACUGAACAAUCACUUGUUUUUACUCGAAUUUUCUUUUUUUUUUAUUUAACUUAGGUGCUUAGCUUAGUAGCGUUGUUUGAACAGGUGUCUUUAUAUUAUUGGGACUGUAUGGACUGUUUUUAGUAGUUGUAAUUUAAUUAAUUUCAGUUUGGCUAUUAUGUUGAUUUGAAGUUUAAGCUAGACUAAAGUGUUAGUUAGGAGCAGAGUUCAUAUUGAUAUGAGAAAAGUAGGUCCUGUAGCUUUGAAUGUUAAGCUUACGUUUAAGUUUUAAGUCUAACAAAUACGCAAAUGGCUCUAUAAUUCAGUUCUAAUUCUAGCAUUUUAGUUUUGAAAUCAAUAAUAGCACUUCAGUAAAGUAAGUAUUAUUGUAUUUGAUGUUUCAAUAUAAGUCUUGAUUACUUUUGUUCAACCAUAGAAUUCUCUAAUUGUUUGUAUAAAUUCAUUAGCUUAGAUAUGAUCGGAAUGAAAAAUUUUGAAUUAAAUUGGCAAUUGAUGAAUUGAAUGGAUCUAAAAUUUUCCUUUUGUUGCUAAAUCGAUGAGUUCAAUUUUGAAAAAAGUUCAGUAGUGUUGUUUGAGCUUGUCGAUAGACCCAGGUUUGACAGUCUAUCCCGUUUGUUUUGGGCCCCAGCUUCACUAAUGCAUGGCCCAGUUCCAGUCUAGCUUACCUUCCCAAUUGGGCUUAUAUUCAGGCCCAAUGCUGAACAGCCUCUCAUAAGAGCUGACUUCCUCACUCUUGGGCUGGUUUCGAAGCCCAAAAUGCUAGAGGCCUGAAUUCCUUGGUUUAAUUUUGUAAUACAAUUUUUGGGCAUUCCAAGUUAAGUAGCAAACUUGAAUAUGUUUAAUAAUGGAGAUCCUCUUGUUGAAGUUUGGACUUGAUCUUGAGGUCAGGGCUUCCUCAAACGCCAAACGCUAAUUAAAUUAGGUUUAGAGACAUUCUUUAAUAGAUAAAUUUAGUUCAUCUUUAGGAUAUCAUUUUAAAAUUAAAUUAAGGUGUGCCGUGCAAAAUAAAAUUCAUAAAUUGCGUGGCCCUCUUUAAAUACUUACCUUAAAUUACUUAGAAAUCGGGAUGUGCCAUUUAGCGAAUAUCCAUGGCCUCCCGCAAAGUUAAUAACGCGUUAAUCGCUUCAGGCUCGUUCUUUUAUAAUUUUACCUUUCUAAACUCGGGUGUGCAUUUUAUGUGACCCAAAUCCAAGUCCCAAAUGUUGAAUAAAAGGUGUCGCGGAUCCGGGUGCAUUUCAUGUGACAUGAUCCAAAAACACGUUUUAAAUGACGUUCAAUUUUUCUUAAAAUCAAUUAAAAGUGGUAAAUAAUUUUUAAAUUGCACUAUAGAAUAAACAUAUUUUAAAACUAGAUAAUUAGCCAAUUAUAAUGGUUUAAGUAACCAUGCUAGAACCACAAAAUCCGGGGGUGCCUAACACCUUCCCUCGGAUCAACAUAAUUCCUUAAUCAGAAUCUCAUGUUCACAAACUUCAUUUCGAAAGUCAAAAAUUUUUCGAUUUGGGAUUCAAGAUAAACUGAUGACUUGGGACACCAAAAGUCAAAUCUAUCCCAAGUGGCGACUGAUAAAUAAAUAAUCUCAUCUCGAAUAAUGUCACUUUAAAUGGAAAAACUCCCUUAUAUAUUAUCCUUCCGGGGGUGGUAUGUAAAAAAAACAGGUGUGACAGAUCUGGAGACUCUGCUGGGGAUCCAAACCCAGAACUUCGGUUCAGGGUUUAAUAAUUUGAGCUUAUAAUAUUUAUUAUAUUUGGCUUUAUAUGAUUUUCUUACAUGCUUCAUGCCUAAUAUGCUAAAUGCUUUACGGUUUUGAUAUAUGGUGAAUUGUAUAUAUAAAGCUGCUGCAAAACCCUUCCUCUCUCUAAGUCUUCUACAUCAUGGAGAAGGGUGCACUUCGUGUGACUUCUCUUCUGUUUAGAGUCUUAUCCCAAUUUAGAACGAGGUUCAGACAAGCUGCUAAGCCGUCGGGGCUUCUGUAUCCCCGGUACAUUGCCCCCCUCGGCUCGAGUUGUCCGCUCGGGUAAGCCAGGUCUAGCACAAUAAACCCAGAUUUUAAACCUAGUAUAAAAAAACCUCAUGUCGUGUCCCUAGUAGGAAUGUUUGUUUGCAUCACGUGCAUUUGACUUUGGGAACUCAACACAGGGGUUGGGUCCAUCUUGGACAAGUGUACCCAAAUUGAAACGACCAUCCUGAUGCAUCCGACUUGCUAGUUGUGCAUUUAUUUGCUUCGGAUUUGCAUGUUGGCCGGCUUGUAAAUAAUGGGAGAGAGUUGAAAAGAAAAUAGCAAUGUUAGAGAAAAUAGGGUAAUCACCUAUUUUGAAAAAUCAAUACUCAAAAUAGUGCCGAAACUCUGCCGGAUUGAAAAUAUAAAAGACACAAGAAGUUUGUUUUUCAAAUUUUGGUUUUGACAGAUUUUCCCGAACUACGCCAGUUUGAUUCUCACCGGGGGUGAGAAACGUAGGAAACUCCCAUCGGGUCCAACUUCCCUUUUGCAAAACUAACCAAAAAUAAAAAUUUUUAUUUUAGUCACAAAAUAAAUAGGGUGAUGCCAUUCUUGUUUAAAAUAAGCCGAAUCUCCGCAAAAGGGUGUCGGAAGGCUAUUUUUGCAAGAACAGCCACCUCAUUUCAUGUCCUACGGUUAGUAGGCACAGCCUUAAAAUCUUCUCUCCUCAAGUGCUAAAAGGCCAUAUCUAAAAAGCCAGGAUUUUCGUCUUUUAAACUGAAAAUUGUCAAAAAAAGCACAAUUGUUUUUCUUUUUGAAUAAAAUAAACUCAUUGAAUCAUCUAAUAAAUGUGCAAAAUGAGCAUGAAUGAAAUUGAACCCUUCACACUCAUUAAUGGGAUCCCCUUGAAGCUCCAUAUGUGGCGGGAUGAUUUGGGAAAAGGUAGCAAGGAAACAGUGACAAGAGUUUUGGGAGGCCUUGUCGGAUUAUUAAACAUCAAGCCAAAGCUGGACAUAACUGAAGCCUUAAUACCAUUUUGGGACCCAACCUGCAUUGUGUUUUGUUUCUCUGACUUCGAGCUCAUGCCAACAUUGGAAUAAAUAGCAGGUUAUGUGGGUCUAAAUGGAAAUCUCAGAAGUCGAUAUCCUUUGUCCCAAAGACCGGUACCCCCUCACAGAUUCUUAGAUUUCCUAAGCAUUAGUCGGGACGUCUAAGACAGAAAUCUAGCCGAAGGAUACUGCACAUUUCAGCUUCUGUAUCUUUGAUAUGGUAACCCUCGGGGUUUUGAAGAACCAAAUACCGGUCUAACCCAUGCUGGAAACAAAGAUAAGUGGGAGGCAAGGCGAAGUCUAGCUUUCAUGGUAGCCUUUAUGGGUGUUGUGGUCUGUCCAUAGAAGGACGAAAAUAUAGAGAGAGGUCUGGUGGGAAUGAUCGAUGUGGCAAUUGAAUAGGCUAACAACACUACAGUAUCUUUAAUUGUGUUGGAAAUCUAUCGAGCCGUGACCAUUUGUCGGGAAGGUGGAAAAUUUUUCCAAGGUUGCAAUUUAUUACUCUAGCUAUGGAUGCAAUACCAUCUUUGUCACCGAGUUGGAUACAUGAACUGUGGUUUGACCGGUCUAAACUGCAUUGAAGAAUUUGGAAAACGGGUAGCGAGCAUUGAACUCCAUAUAGGCACAUAAGCUUGGCUAGCACAUCUGAGGGCCCUGACUGCUAACAAAAUUGAAUGGGCAUUUGGAUGGCUCCCUGCCACUGAAGCAAUAUACACAACAGCCAAAGCGUCUUAUUUCCUCUUAAUGGGCAUUUGGAGCAUCCAACCAUAUGCUCCCUACAGGGUGUUGCGUCAACUAGGAAGAUUCUAAGUUGUCCACAAUGACGAAGAUCUAAGCAAGCAUGCCAUUGAGUUGGGGCCAAAAGAUGCGUUUUCCGAAGAAAAAAUUCGCCAAAUAUGGAAUAAAUGUAGAUUUCUAGAACUCAAGACCAUAGUGCGAGAUCGAGCCAGAGGUGAAAUAGACCCCAAAUAUGUUGAAUGGUUCAGCAAGAGAUAUCAAGUUCUUGAAAUACCCGCAAAAAGACCUCAUGUCCAACAAUUCACCGUUGAGGCCCAACCACAACGGGACUGGCUGACUAAAGAAAAUGAAUACAAGGCCAAAAUCAGUAAAGUGGAAAGGCAAUUCAUGGAGCUCCAAUUUGAAAAUAGUGUUCAAUCUACCGCAGAUGAAGGGGAAAAGAAGAAACUAGCCCAGGAAAACGAGGCACUCAAUGCUCAAGUCAGAAAGAUGAAAACAACCGCCGAUAACCCAAAAAGAAGUCGUGCCAAUGAAAGGCUUGUAAGUGGGCUAAGAAAGAAAGUCCUCGAAUACCAAGAAGACUUAGAGAAGUUCACUGCCAGUCAGGCAAAGCUACAGGAACAGUGGAUAAAGAAAGCGGAAGAACGAGCACGGUUUGUUCAACAAAUGAAAAGAAACAAUGAGGGUUCUAUCACCUGCCUCAAAAGAAAAAUGAUUAAUUUGAGGAUGAAGCAGCCAAACAUGCUAAAGAUUUUAAGGCUAAUAGGGAACAUUGUUAUAAGCUGAUGACCCAAAUAGAGAAAGACAUGCAACAAUUGCAAAAUCAACACUUUCAUGAUACCCUAGUGUUGGAGUCUCAAAACCAGCAGGUAGGGAGAUUACUUUAGUAAAAGGGCAUAUUAGAGAAAGGAUCAUAGCCAUCGCUGAUUGCAUCACCAUGAAAUGCCAAGUAUGUGAGGAUAUGACUCGAACCACUUUCUUUGCUGCAGUGAUGAUCUUCGCCCGUCAAGUAAUGACUGAUUUGGAGCGACGACAAGAGGGUCUCGCACAUAAGCCUGCGGCGAGGCCGAAUGAUGCCCUGCGGCCCCGAAGCAUAGAUGUAUUUUUGAAUUUUCAAACAUUGAGUUUGCAUUUUUUUUCAUUUUGAGUCUGUAUUUUAUUUUCACGAAACUGAUUAAUUUAACAUCUUUGUAUUAUAGAAAUUUAAAAAUCUUAAAAAAAGUUCUUUUAUUUUGUAUUUGUUUCAAAGAACUAUGCUUGGUAUGAUUCAUGCGGGGUCAUGAGACGUAGGCAAUCUCCAUAAGAUUCGACCGUAUCCUUGAAAUAAAAAAAGGAAAGUAAGUAAAAAGAGGGGAAUAAAAGCAAAGAGAAGGAAAAUAAGAAAAUCGAGAGACAAACAUGGCAAAAUCAGAGGCAUGGAAAAGAAAUGAGAAGAAGAAAAAAAAGAGUGGAAAAAUAAAAGAAGGAAAUAGGAAGGUACCAGAAAGGAGCCGGGAUGAAGCAUGCAACCAUUGCAACACAUGUAGAUACUCUUUUAGCUGCAUAGGUGCAUCAUAACCUAACGUGCGAUCACCUGUCUAUUAUCUGUCUCUAACUAACCGUUUGUUGCUUGUAACAUCCAGUCCAGGAUUUUUAUAAACGGUGGUUGGUUUUGGUGGUAACCUGGCUUCACAUCCAUACUUUACUAGAUUGAAUGGAAGCAUCAGGAUGUCUUUAUAAAUCACUCUGGCAGGAAUUCCCACCAUGGACGAGAGCCCAAUCUCGGGCAUCCCAGCAUAAGAGUCAGCAACUGCCAAGGAAAAUUGGCUAUUGUAUCUCCGCAUGAUGGAUAUGUGGGACGUCUGGUCAAAUGGAAAAGAGCCACCUAGUGCAAUUUUUGGAUUUUAUGAGCUUUUCCCUAAGAAUGGGGGGAACGUCCACUGCCCCAAUCAGUCAUCCCAACAUCCCACUAGGACACCCAACCAUCGCAGCUAAUUUUAUGGGAACACCUUCAGAGGUUCGCCCUCAUAUGGCUAUAUCCAAUGCAGUCCCAAACAUCUUUACUGCUCCACCAUGCACAGCUACCACACAGCCCGCAUUUCCAAGGCCCACCUUUGAUCCUUCAAACUUUACAUUCCAUACACUCACCCCUGAAUAAAAGGUGUCGCAGUAUCCCACCUAUAGUUAUUCACAAUUGCAUCCAUUUGAGUUCAAAAGGAAACUCCCAAAACUCCGGGACAACAAGAAACGGAAAAAAGGAUGAGACGCCUGGAGCAAGGCCUCAAAAACAUGCAAGGGCUAAGUGGACAGAAAAGUGUAUCAUAUACUGAUUUGUGCAUGUUCCCUCAUGUGCAUUUGCUUGUGGGAUUCAAAACUCUGAAGUUUGAAAAGUACGAUGGGCAUGGUGAUUCUAUUGCCCACCUUAAGAAAUACUGCAAUCAGUUGCGCGGAGCUGGAGGAAAAGAAGAAUUGCUCAUGGCUUAUAUUGGGGAAAGCUUGGAGGGUACCACCUCCGAAUGGUACAUGGAUCAGGAUAUUUCUCGAUGGCACAUCUGGGAUGAUCUUGCAAGAGACUUUGUUCCACAGUUCCAGUAUAAUAUCGACAUUUCUCCAAACCGGAACGUGUUGGCAAAUCUAAAGAAGAAGCCCUUAGAAAGAUUUUGGGAGUAUGCAAUCUAAUGGCGUGAACAUGCGUCUAGGGUAAACCUCCAAUGGAUGAAGUAGAAAUUGUCAUUGUAUUCCUUCAAGCUCAGGAGGCUUAUUAUUUCCAGAAUAUGAUGUCAGCUAUGGGCAAAGCAUUUGCUGAGGCCAUUAAAAUUGGUGAAAUGGUAGAGAAUGUACUGAAAACAGGCAGAAUUUUGAGCCAAUUAGCUAUUAGAGCAACCUCCCAAGCCAUCUAAGGUGAGUCUGGAGGAGUGCACAAAGGUAAGAAGAAAUAGCCAUGGCAGUUUCAGGUACAAGUAGACACCACGCUCCUAGACCCAUGUUCUCAGACAUAUCUCCUCAGCAUUAUUACCCUCAUCAAGACAUAGCCUAUGCAUUUCAACCGUAUGCAGUCAUGAAUGCUCAACCUUUUGUAUGAUCGUAGCAACAUGCCAAUAGAAACCAAGCUCCAUUUCUAAGAAAUUAGCCUCUUCCGCAAAAUCACUAUAAUGCACGUCCUCCACAGAAUGAUCUUCCUCCUCGUGAGCCACCUAGGAGACAAAGUUUUACUCCAAUUGGUGAGUCUUGCUCCAGCCUAUUUCCAAAACUCAUCCAAAUAGGCCUAUUGCAACCAGUUCCUUGCGUCGCCUGCUUAUAGAGCUGGUGUCAGAUGUGCCUAUCAAUCAGGAGUAGAGGGGCACGAUACAGAUAAUUGUUAGACCCUAAAAAGAGUGGUGGAAAACUUGAUAGAGCAAGGCAAAAUAGUGCUAAUGGAUGAGGAUGUCCCCAACGUGACUAAUAAUCCAUUGACAGCCCACAACAAUGGGCCAGUGAUUGGGAUGAUUUGUGAAGAGAAAGAAUUUGAUCCGGCAUUAAAGGCCAUAAUUGCCAUCGUGGAUGCAGAGAGAAAGCCAAAAAGCGCCGCGAAGCAAGAUAAAGGGGAAAAGAAGAGCAAAGUCACCAAGACAGAACAAGAAAAGAAAGUUGAAACAGGAAUGGAGGUAAUGCCUCCCAAAGAAAUGAGAGAGGUCGAUUGGCGAAAACCCGCAAAAGGCACCGUCGGCCGAAAAGAAGACACCUCCCAUUACUGAAAGAGUCCUGGCAAGGUUCUCUAGUUUUGAAAUAUGGGUCAAUGAGCUUAUGAAAAGUUGGGAAAGUUUAUGUGGGUCGGGCAUCAAGUCCAAGAAGCAUGUCAUAUCCAUUUGUAGCCUACAUGCAUCCCCAAAUAAGUCUUUCUCUUUCCCUGAAAGGGACGCUCCUCUUUAAAUUCACCUUCUUAACUUUGUUUUAUUUUUCCUUGAAUCCCUUUCGGUUUAACUUUGAUUCCGAAACUAUCUCAAAAAAAAGGUGUCAAGACUGGUUUUACAGGGCUCUGCCUAGCAAGAGCUAAAGAAAGGUACCCAGCCUCAGUGGGAGCAUCAAACCAAUCCCGACAGGCUACGAUGGAGGAUGAUUUCAAAGCAAUGAUAUGGAAAAGGAAAGAAUGUCCAACGAUAAAGGUCCUAAGAGCAAAAUAAAGUGAAAGGCUGGAGCCUCACGCGGGCGAGUUGUCAUGAAAUCCUGAAGGUUGAGGCCCUUGGUUCGAAAGAGAAAAUGAUCUUCAAAACCAGCAAGCAGUAGAGGUUCUCAAAAUAAGUUGGGUCGGGAUCAAGCAAUCAAGGACACAGAACCAACCACAAUUUCAAACUAACAAUUGUUCUUUGUUGUAAAUUGAAACAGGUGCGAUACGAGCAACUGUGCAAAAAGAAUGUGCAGUCAAAAGGAAAUCACGCAAAUGCUGUAACAGCUUUGCAGCAAAUAGUCAAUGCAAAAGGGAAAUUUCCUCCAAGUUCUUUCCUGCAUCUUAUUAAAAUAAAUAAAAGGUAAAGGAUAUAACAAAUGAAGAAAAUCCCAAAAGAGGAUAGUUUAGAAUUCUCAAUACCAACAUGGUACCUUUUAUCCAACAUUAGGGCUCCAAUCCAUGAGUUGCGCCUUUUAGACAUAAGGUCUCCAUUCUCUAGUCGCCUUUAGCCAAUAUUAGGGCUCAAAUCCCUGAAUUGAGCUUUUUAUCCUUUUAUCCAACAUUAGGGCUCCAAUCCCUGAGUUUCGCCUUUUAGACAUAGGGCUUCCAUUCCCUAGUCGCCAUUAGCCAAUAUUAGGGCUCCAGCCCCUGAGUUGAGCAUUUUAUCCUUUAGCUAACAUUAAGGCUCCAAUCCCUGAGUUGAGCUUUUUACCUUUUAGCCAACAUUAAGGCUCCAAUUCUUGAGUUGUGCUUUUUAGACAUAGGGCCUCCAUUCCCUAGUCGCCUUUAGCUAACAUUAAGGCUCCAAUCCCUGAGUUGAGCUUUUUAUCCUUUUAGCCAACAGUAGGGCUCCAAUAUCUGAGUUGCGCCUUUUAGACAUAGGGUCCCCAUUCCUUUGUCUCCUUUAGCCAACACUAGGGCUCCAAUCCCUGAGUUAGGUUUUUUACCCUUUUAUCCAAUAUUAGGGCUCCAAUCCUGAGUUGCGUCUUUUAGCAUAGGGCCUCUAUUCCCUAGUAGUCUUUAGCCAACAUUAAGGCUCCAAUACCUGAGUUAGGCUUUUUACCUUUCGCCAAUAUUAGGGCUCCAAUCCCUGAGUUGCGCCUUUUAGACAUAGGGCCUCCAUUCCCUAGUCUCCCUUAGGCAACAUUAGGGCUCCAAUCCCUGAAUUGAGCUUUUUACCUAUUAGCCAACAUUAGGGCUCUUGCCUUUUAGACAUAGGGCCUCCAUUCCCUAUUCGUCUUUAGCUAAUAUUAGGCUCCAAUCCCUGAAUUGAGCUUUUUACCUUUUUAGCCAACAUUAAGGCUCCAAUCCUUGAGUUGCGCCUUUCAGCCAUAGGGCCUCCAUUCCCUAGUCGCCUUUAGCCAACAUUAGCGCUCCAAUCCUUGAGUUGAUCUUUUUACUUUUUAACCAGCAUUAGGGCUCCAACCCCUGAGGUGCACCUUUAGACAUAGGGCUUUCAUUCCCUAGUCACCUUUGGCAAUGUUAGGGCUCCAAUCCCUUAGUUGGUGUUUUCGCAACAGGCUCCACCCCAAUUUGUUCUAUCACAGACAAAAACAACUCUUGAAAAUGAAAAAGAUAAAUAAGUACAAGUAACUCACAAAAUUUUCCUAGUGAAAAUUGAGGCAGAAAAAUUUCGUUCAUUUGUUUUUUGUCUGAGCAGGUUUGACUUCAAAGUACAGGGUGUGAGACGACCGAAAAAAUGAAGUCUCAAUCCAGAAUUAAAAAAAAAGAGAAAAAGAACAAAAGAAGUGAAUUCAAAACACUGAAGCGAACAGAGAUGCGACCUGCUCAAAGCUUGUUUGAAGUCACAAGCUCCGCCUGUUCCGCUCUUAUCCAAUGCUGAAGAAAGAACCAACACCUACAGCUUGCGAGCAUCAACAUUCAAAUCGGAGUCCAUAGCAAAAUCAGCUAAGACUCAAUAUCAAUCUUUAAAAGAUUUAUACAUAGGAAUCUUGUAACUAAUAGUUGUUAGGCAUAGCUAGCUUAGCUUUGAUUUUCCUUUUGGUGUAAAAAGGAGGUCAGCAAGCAGUAGCAGCAGCAACAACAGUGAAAUCACAGCUUCUGAUAGUCCCAGCUACCAAAACUUCCAGAACUACACUAACCUGAUUUCUUUAUAGCCAAGGAUAUAUAGGCAAUCUCUGAAGCAGGUUUCGGUCAGACGUUUUUCAAAAAAUGCUUCUCAAUGGAAUACCAAGCAGGAAAAAAUCCGUCAUGAUUGCUUAGUUAUCUUUGCCCGAAAACCCUUCGUGUUUCCAAGCAAAGAAGGGCAGCUGUGAGCACGUGAAUGUUUCCUCGCUUAAAUUACUCCUAUAGAAUUCUUAAAAAUUAGGAUUUUUCUUCUAAUUAUUUAAUCUCAGGGAAGUAAUUGCAUAAUUUUGUAUAUGUCUGCAUUUUUGUGUGCAUGUUUUAUUGAUAUAACUCAUAAAAUACAAAAUAUGUCACAUGCACAUUUUAAAGUUGUUUUGAUUAUU
This 12436-nucleotide long non-coding RNA is filed under the name Nicotiana benthamiana. RNAcentral describes it as "long non-coding RNA (NBEN_LNC004969)". Lineage: Eukaryota; Viridiplantae; Streptophyta; Magnoliopsida; Solanales; Solanaceae. The record is from RNAcentral.